AGAGUUUGAUCCUGGCUCAGGAUGAACGCUAGCUACAGGCUUAACACAUGCAAGUCGAGGGGCAGCAUGGUCUUAGCUUGCUAAGGCCGAUGGCGACCGGCGCACGGGUGAGUAACACGUAUCCAACCUGCCGUCUACUCUUGGACAGCCUUCUGAAAGGAAGAUUAAUACAAGAUGGCAUCAUGAGUCCGCAUGUUCACAUGAUUAAAGGUAUUCCGGUAGACGAUGGGGAUGCGUUCCAUUAGAUAGUAGGCGGGGUAACGGCCCACCUAGUCUUCGAUGGAUAGGGGUUCUGAGAGGAAGGUCCCCCACAUUGGAACUGAGACACGGUCCAAACUCCUACGGGAGGCAGCAGUGAGGAAUAUUGGUCAAUGGGCGAGAGCCUGAACCAGCCAAGUAGCGUGAAGGAUGACUGCCCUAUGGGUUGUAAACUUCUUUUAUAAAGGAAUAAAGUCGGGUAUGGAUACCCGUUUGCAUGUACUUUAUGAAUAAGGAUCGGCUAACUCCGUGCCAGCAGCCGCGGUAAUACGGAGGAUCCGAGCGUUAUCCGGAUUUAUUGGGUUUAAAGGGAGCGUAGAUGGAUGUUUAAGUCAGUUGUGAAAGUUUGCGGCUCAACCGUAAAAUUGCAGUUGAUACUGGAUAUCUUGAGUGCAGUUGAGGCAGGCGGAAUUCGUGGUGUAGCGGUGAAAUGCUUAGAUAUCACGAAGAACUCCGAUUGCGAAGGCAGCCUGCUAAGCUGCAACUGACAUUGAGGCUCGAAAGUGUGGGUAUCAAACAGGAUUAGAUACCCUGGUAGUCCACACGGUAAACGAUGAAUACUCGCUGUUUGCGAUAUACUGCAAGCGGCCAAGCGAAAGCGUUAAGUAUUCCACCUGGGGAGUACGCCGGCAACGGUGAAACUCAAAGGAAUUGACGGGGGCCCGCACAAGCGGAGGAACAUGUGGUUUAAUUCGAUGAUACGCGAGGAACCUUACCCGGGCUUAAAUUGCAGAUGAAUUACGGUGAAAGCCGUAAGCCGCAAGGCAUCUGUGAAGGUGCUGCAUGGUUGUCGUCAGCUCGUGCCGUGAGGUGUCGGCUUAAGUGCCAUAACGAGCGCAACCCUUGUUGUCAGUUACUAACAGGUUCCGCUGAGGACUCUGACAAGACUGCCAUCGUAAGAUGUGAGGAAGGUGGGGAUGACGUCAAAUCAGCACGGCCCUUACGUCCGGGGCUACACACGUGUUACAAUGGGGGGUACAGAGGGCCGCUACCACGCGAGUGGAUGCCAAUCCCCAAAACCUCUCUCAGUUCGGACUGGAGUCUGCAACCCGACUCCACGAAGCUGGAUUCGCUAGUAAUCGCGCAUCAGCCACGGCGCGGUGAAUACGUUCCCGGGCCUUGCACACACCGCCCGUCAAG
This 1398-nucleotide ribosomal RNA is filed under the name uncultured bacterium. Its description in RNAcentral is "bacterial SSU rRNA". It matches the Rfam family "Bacterial small subunit ribosomal RNA". The record is from RNAcentral.